RNAcentral lists this ribosomal RNA (212 nucleotides) under uncultured Lactobacillus sp. Its description in RNAcentral is "partial 16S ribosomal RNA". It matches the Rfam family "Bacterial small subunit ribosomal RNA", at positions 149 to 355 of the family's 1533-position model. Lineage: Bacteria; Bacillati; Bacillota; Bacilli; Lactobacillales; Lactobacillaceae. The record is from RNAcentral.
CCUGGAAACAGAUGCUAAUACCGGAUAACAACAGAUGAUGCCUAUCAACUGUUUAAAAGAUGGUUCUGCUAUCACUCUUGGAUGGACCUGCGGUGCAUUAGCUAGUUGGUAGGGUAACGGCCUACCAAGGCGAUGAUGCAUAGCCGAGUUGAGAGACUGAUCGGCCACAUUGGGACUGAGACACGGCCCAAACUCCUACGGGAGGCAGCAGC